This 372-nucleotide ribosomal RNA is filed under the name uncultured organism. RNAcentral's name for it is "partial 16S ribosomal RNA". It matches the Rfam family "Bacterial small subunit ribosomal RNA", at positions 527 to 896 of the family's 1533-position model. The record is from RNAcentral.
GGAGGGGGCUAGCGUUAUUCGGAUUUACUGGGCGUAAAGCGCACGUAGGCGGCUAGGUAUGUCAAAGGUGAAAGCCCUCGACUCAACCGAGGAACUGCCUUUGAAACUGCUUGGCUUGAGUCCGGGAGAGGGGAGCGGAAUUCCCAGUGUAGCGGUGAAAUGCGUAGAUACUGGGAGGAACACCGGUGGCGAAGGCGGCUCCCUGGACCGGCACUGACGCUGAGGUGCGAAAGCGUGAGUAGCAAACAGGAUUAGAUACCCUGGUAGUCCACGCCGUAAACGAUGGGCACUAGGUGCAGCGGGUGUCGACCCCCUGCUGUGCCGAAGCUAACGCAUUAAGUGCCCCGCCUGGGGAGUACGGUCGCAAGGCUG